UCUCUCAAAAUAGGGCCAAUAGCUGAGUACUAUACAAACAACACACGAGUGUGUGCACAAAAUGUCAUGUACAAAUCAUAUUUUAUAUAAAUAAAAGUUGGAGCAUGUGUAUAUGUGUAUAUAUGUGUACAUAUGUGUGUUUAUGUGUGUGUAACUCUCUCUGUAUGUGCGUAUGUGUAUGUAUAUACAUGUGUGUAUGUGUGCAUAUAUAUGUGUGUUUCUGUAUGUAUUUGUGUGAGUAUGAGUGUGUAUAUGUGCACGUAUGUGUGUGUGUGUAUGUAUGUAUGUAUGUAUGUGUGUCUGUGUGUGCAUUUGUGUGUGUGUGUGUGUGUGUGUGUGUGUAUACCUGGACUUGUAGAUACAAUGGCAAGUGUGAGUGCUGGUCAGGAAGUCCUGUGUGGUUACUGUCUUUGUCUCCAAUGCUGUAGUCCAUGAGAUAGAGAAUUGGGAAAAUGGUGACUGUGAAGUGAGAGUCAGUAACAACAAGCUGAAACCUCAGACAUAAGCUAGGUCACAAUGGUUGGCUGGAACCCAGGUGGGUUCUGGUCUUCUGAUCUUGGCAGUGUGAGUAUAUGACUGAUAUCAGGGCUCUUUGUUAUGGAGUGAAGCACAUGCACUUUUGCUUAGAAACAAGAGGAAUUGGUGGAGAUCCAGGGCAAAGUGUAACACGUACUUGUGAUACUGACGAAGCCUGGAGGUUCUCACAGGCCUACUACUAUCUUCCUUCCAACAAACUAAUCCAGCUCAUAGGAGACAUUUCUACAGCAAAAACAUGUUCCAGGACUCCCAGUGGAUGACUGAAAUCAUGAAUAGCACCAGACUCUACACAUGUUGUUCUUUUUUCCAUUUUUAUAUAUCAAUGAAAAAAAAUCAAACACCAAGAUGAUUCAAUUAUAAUAAUUACAUUAAAUAUAAAUGUCUUAAAAAUCCCCAAAAGACACAGAGAUUAUUGAGAUUGGACUUUAAGAAACAGUAAGACCCAAUGAUAUCCUGCCUCAACAAACAUAAUCUGAAUAUAUAGUCAUGAGUAGGUUAAAAUCAAAAGGUUGGGGAAAUAUAUACUAUGAUUAGAUAAGCCAAGAGAAAGCUACAGUGGACAUGCAAUAUUAACUAAAGUGUAUUACAAAGCAAAAUUCAGCAGGAUAAAAAUAAUUUCAGAAUGAUAACAGGUUCAAUUCAUCAAAAGGACAUAAAAUUUUUAAAUGUUUAAUCAUCUAAUAACACAGCUCCAAAAUAUACAAAAAACAGGAUCUGGUAAGAUAAAUAUAUUUAUGAUUAAAACCGAUUAAAAGAAAAAAACCAAAUGAUUAAGAGAAAAAAAUGUUCUGGGGAUAAGGGGACUGUAGAUUUAAACACAAGGGCCAAGCAGUUGACAUAAUUGCUAUUUAUAGAUGACUUUGCAAUGAUGGUGAGAUCCACAUUGUUUCCAUAGAUGCCAAACAUUUAGCAUGCUAGACCACAUGCUGACACACAAAACAACUCAGGGAAGUUUAGGAAUCAGACAGUGCACUUAAAGCAUAACAGAACUGUUAGGAUGCUACAGUCGGCUACGUCUGGCUAGUCCUCCAAUACGCAGAAAGUAAAUGUGGGAGCUACAGGCCCUGAGCUAUGAAACUAAAGUUGUGACCCAUAAGAAAACAGUGAUGUUUGACUUCCUUAUAAAUAAGAAUGUCUACUCUUUAAAAGACAGUUUUUGAGAGAAUUAAAUAACCAAAUACUGGGGAAAUAUUUGCAAACCAUGUGUCAAAUAAAUGACUUAAAUCUAUAAUGUAUAAACCCUAUGGAUUAGGAUGACAUCCCAGGGACAAGAGUAUUUGCUGUGAAUCAAGAGGUGAGUUCAAGUCCUCAGCUGAUAAAAAGCUGCGCCAUACCACAGCUCGCAAUCCCAGCCCUGGAGGCCAUCGACAGGUGGGUCUCAGGCGCUGGAUGGCCAGCCUGCCUGCCCAAAGCAGUGAGCUCCAGGUUCACUGAAAGACCUUGUCUCAGGAAAGCAAGGUGCUGAGCCAGCAAGAUGGCACAGCUGGUACACGCACUUGUCACCAAGUCUAACAACCUGAUUUUGAUCCCCAGAGCCCAAAUGGUAGGAGAGAAAUGACUUUUGCAGGAUGUCCUCUGACCUCCUCCAUGUGUAUGCACCUACACACUCAUGUACGUAUGCGUUUGCAUACGUGAGCGAGCACACACACACACAAACACAGAGAUAUAGAUGGCUAGAUAAAUAGAUAAAUAAAUGUUAAAUGAACAAAGACCUUAACAUUAUCAGUCAUUGAGGGAUUACAGUUCAAAUCACAAUGAGGUAUCAUUUCACACCUAUUUAAAUGGCUCAAAAUUUAAGAGUGGCAAUGGAGAGAUGCUCAGAGGUUAGGAGCACUGGCUGCUGCUCUUCCAAAGGGCCAGGGUCAGUUUCCAGCACCACAAGGAGGCUUACAGCCAUCUAUAACUUAACUUACAGGGGAUCCAAUACUCUAUUCUAGUUCUUGUAGACGCCAGGCACACACAUGGCACACCAACAUACAUGCAGGCAAAACACUCAUACACAGAAAAUAAAAUAAUAAUAAUAAAACGGGUUUUAUAAAAAGAAGAGAAAAAAGGAAAGAGGGAAGGAAGGAAAGAAAGAAAGAAAG
RNAcentral lists this long non-coding RNA (2624 nucleotides) under Mus musculus (house mouse). RNAcentral's name for it is "long non-coding RNA chr4:41986708-41989332". Lineage: Eukaryota; Metazoa; Chordata; Mammalia; Rodentia; Muridae. The record is from RNAcentral.